RNAcentral lists this ribosomal RNA (253 nucleotides) under uncultured bacterium. RNAcentral describes it as "partial 16S ribosomal RNA". It matches the Rfam family "Bacterial small subunit ribosomal RNA", at positions 524 to 776 of the family's 1533-position model. The record is from RNAcentral.
UACGUAGGGAGCAAGCGUUGUUCGGAUUUACUGGGCGUAAAGGGCGCGUAGGCGGCGCGACAAGUCACUUGUGAAAUCUCCGGGCUUAACUCGGAACGGUCAAGUGAAACUGUCAUGCUAGAGUGCAGGAGGGGCAAUCGGAAUUCUUGGUGUAGCGGUGAAAUGCGUAGAUAUCAAGAGGAACACCUGAGGUGAAGGCGGGUUGCUGGGCUGACACUGACGCUGAGGCGCGAAAGCGAGGGGAGCAAACGGG